This 550-nucleotide ribosomal RNA is filed under the name uncultured bacterium. RNAcentral's name for it is "bacterial SSU rRNA". It matches the Rfam family "Bacterial small subunit ribosomal RNA", at positions 355 to 896 of the family's 1533-position model. The record is from RNAcentral.
UAGGGAAUCUUCGGCAAUGGACGGAAGUCUGACCGAGCAACGCCGCGUGAGUGAAGAAGGUUUUCGGAUCGUAAAGCUCUGUUGUAAGAGAAGAACGAGUGUGAGAGUGGAAAGUUCACACUGUGACUGUAUCUUACCAGAAAGGGACGGCUAACUACGUGCCAGCAGCCGCGGUAAUACGUAGGUCCCGAGCGUUGUCCGGAUUUAUUGGGCGUAAAGCGAGCGCAGGCGGUUAGAUAAGUCUGAAGUUAAAGGCUGUGGCUUAACCAUAGUACGCUUUGGAAACUGUUUAACUUGAGUGCAAGAGGGGAGAGUGGAAUUCCAUGUGUAGCGGUGAAAUGCGUAGAUAUAUGGAGGAACACCGGUGGCGAAAGCGGCUCUCUGGCUUGUAACUGACGCUGAGGCUCGAAAGCGUGGGGAGCAAACAGGAUUAGAUACCCUGGUAGUCCACGCCGUAAACGAUGAGUGCUAGGUGUUAGACCCUUUCCGGGGUUUAGUGCCGUAGCUAACGCAUUAAGCACUCCGCCUGGGGAGUACGACCGCAAGGUUG